CCUACGGGAGGCUGCAGUGAGGAAUAUUGGUCAAUGGACGCAAGUCUGAACCAGCCAUGCCGCGUGCAGGAAGACGGCGCUAUGAGUUGUAAACUGCUUUUGUACGAGGGUAAACGCAGAUACGUGUAUCUGUCUGAGAGUAUCGUACGAAUAAGGAUCGGCUAACUCCGUGCCAGCAGCCGCGGUAAUACGGAGGAUGCAAGCGUUAUCCGGAUUUAUUGGGUUUAAAGGGUGCGUAGGCGGACGGAUAAGUUAGCGGUGAAAUCCCGAGGCUCAACCUCGGAAGUGCCUUUGAAACUGGUCGGCUAGAGAGGAGGUGCGGUAGGCGGAAUGUAUGGUGUAGCGGGGAAAUGCUUAGAGAUCAUACAGAACACCGAUUGCGAAGGCAGCUUACCAGG
RNAcentral lists this ribosomal RNA (398 nucleotides) under uncultured bacterium. Its description in RNAcentral is "partial 16S ribosomal RNA". It matches the Rfam family "Bacterial small subunit ribosomal RNA", at positions 338 to 733 of the family's 1533-position model. The record is from RNAcentral.